Molecule: long non-coding RNA, 518 nt
Organism: Dalotia coriaria
Lineage: Eukaryota; Metazoa; Arthropoda; Insecta; Coleoptera; Staphylinidae
Exons: 2
Source: RefSeq, a predicted model, not a curated record
UAUUGUUUUAUCAGUUGUUGCUGCGCUCCGUCGCGGCGGAGAGCAAACACAACACAAUCGCGGCGAGUCGUGUGCGCGGCCCUGAGAAAAGUUUCGCGCUCGCAGUUGGCACAUAGUCAACCCGCGCGAAUGCCAAUUAGAGUCGAAGAGUCGAAGCACAUCGAAGCCCAUCGAAGCAAUUACGCACGCAAAGUGGCACCUACCACCACCCUCCACCACCCCUCACACCCAACCGGAGAAAAUGUCAGCCGGAAAAAGUUUGAUUGUCGUUUUAUUGGCGAUCGCGCUUCAGUUGCAGCAUGAGGUCGACGCGGAUAUCGGGAAUUUACACUACGAAUGCGAACAUUUUCUCAACUUUAAACUUAAUGUUGUUAAAUAUUAUGGACCGAUUAUGAUCGACGAAGGAUUUGUCAAUGCAUGUAUGCAUAUGGGAUAUGAUUUAGAAGCGCAUAUGUACGAUGAUGUUAUAAGAGACGCAAGUGAAGUGUAUUCGCAGUAAUAAAAUUAUUUUUCCGGUU